UGAGGAAUUUUGCGCAAUGGGCGAAAGCCUGACGCAGCGACGCCGCGUGGAGGAUGAAGGUCUUCGGAUUGUAAACUUCUGUUAAGUGGGACGAAAAGCUUAUUUUUAAUAGAGAUAAGUCAUGACGGUACUACUAGAGAAAGCACUGGCUAAUCUCGUGCCAGCAGCCGCGGUAAUACGAGAGGUGCAAACGUUAUUCGGAUUUAUUGGGCGUAAAGGGUGUGUAGGCGGUUUGUUAAGUCUACUGUUAAAUUUCUCGGCUUAACCGAGAGCAAGCAGUAGAUACUGAUGAACUAGAGGAUGGAAGAGAGAAGUGGAAUUCUUGGAGUAGCGGUAAAAUGCGUAGAUCUCAAGAGGAACACCGAUGGCGAAGGCAGCUUCUUGGUCCAUUCCUGACGCU
This 400-nucleotide ribosomal RNA is filed under the name uncultured bacterium. RNAcentral describes it as "bacterial SSU rRNA". It matches the Rfam family "Bacterial small subunit ribosomal RNA", at positions 355 to 747 of the family's 1533-position model. The record is from RNAcentral.